This 71-nucleotide transfer RNA is filed under the name Bos taurus (domestic cattle). It matches the Rfam family "tRNA". From Rfam's summary of the family: Transfer RNA (tRNA) molecules are approximately 80 nucleotides in length. RNAcentral also lists the same sequence under 2 other names. Lineage: Eukaryota; Metazoa; Chordata; Mammalia; Artiodactyla; Bovidae. The record is from Rfam by way of RNAcentral.
UCCCAGAUAGCUAGUUGGUAAAGAAUCCACCUGCAAUGCAGGAGACCUUGGUUCGAUCCCUGGUUUGGGAA